RNAcentral lists this long non-coding RNA (280 nucleotides) under Hordeum vulgare. Its description in RNAcentral is "long non-coding RNA (HVUL_LNC000396)". The record is from RNAcentral. Lineage: Eukaryota; Viridiplantae; Streptophyta; Magnoliopsida; Poales; Poaceae.
CUCCGCGUGAAAGCUCAUGCCAUUGUGGGCUCAACAACGGUGCCACUUCGUGCAGUCUUCCCUCCUGAGGAUGGUGUCGUGGAGCUUAGGUAUGCUAGGGCACAGCGUGGCGUUGUACCUAAUCUUUCCUGUAUUCUCUUUUGAUAACGUAUUCGUGUGUGUUCUGCGUGGUCCGUUUAUCGCAAGAUCUUUUUUGUAAGAGGGUAACCUCUUCACUUUGUAUCGUUCGACCAUGUACUAUGAUCGGUUGUUGCUUUAUAUAUAAAGCGGCACGAAAGUC